Molecule: ribosomal RNA, 460 nt
Filed under: uncultured bacterium
Lineage: Bacteria
Description: partial 16S ribosomal RNA
Rfam family: Bacterial small subunit ribosomal RNA
Source: RNAcentral
CCUACGGGUGGCAGCAGUGAGGAAUAUUGGUCAAUGGACGAGAGUCUGAACCAGCCAAGUCGCGUGAAGGAUGACUGCCCUAUGGGUUGUAAACUUCUUUUAUCUGGGAAUAAAAUGUUCCACGUGUGGGAUUUUGUAUGUACCAUAUGAAUAAGCAUCGGCUAACUCCGUGCCAGCAGCCGCGGUAAUACGGAGGAUCCGAGCGUUAUCCGGAUUUAUUGGGUUUAAAGGGUGCGGAGGUGGAUUGUUAAGUCAGGUGUGAAAGUUUGCGGCUCAACCGUAAAAUUGCAGUUGAAACUGGCAUUCUUGAGUACGGGAGAGGUAGGCGGAAUGCGUGGUGUAGCGGUGAAAUGCUUAGAUAUCACGAAGAACUCCGAUUGCGAAGGCAGCACACCGGAGUUCAACUGACACUGAUGCACGAAAGUGUGGGUAUCGAACAGGAUUAGAUACCCGGGUAGUC